RNAcentral lists this ribosomal RNA (255 nucleotides) under uncultured Stenotrophomonas sp. RNAcentral's name for it is "partial 16S ribosomal RNA". It matches the Rfam family "Bacterial small subunit ribosomal RNA", at positions 96 to 354 of the family's 1533-position model. Lineage: Bacteria; Pseudomonadati; Pseudomonadota; Gammaproteobacteria; Lysobacterales; Lysobacteraceae. The record is from RNAcentral.
UGGCGGACGGGUGAGGAAUACAUCGGAAUCUACUCUGUCGUGGGGGAUAACGUAGGGAAACUUACGCUAAUACCGCAUACGACCUACGGGUGAAAGCAGGGGAUCUUCGGACCUUGCGCGAUUGAAUGAGCCGAUGUCGGAUUAGCUAGUUGGCGGGGUAAAGGCCCACCAAGGCGACGAUCCGUAGCUGGUCUGAGAGGAUGAUCAGCACACUGGAACUGAGACACGGUCCAGACUCCUACGGGAGGCAGCAGG